CCUACGUGAGGCAGCAGUGGGGAAUAUUGCACAAUGGGGGAAACCCUGAUGCAGCGACGCCGCGUGAGUGAAGAAGUAAUUCGUUAUGUAAAGCUCUAUCAGCAGGGAAGAAAAUGACGGUACCUGAGUAAGAAGCCCCGGCUAACUACGUGCCAGCAGCCGCGGUAAUACGUAGGGGGCAAGCGUUAUCCGGAUUUACUGGGUGUAAAGGGAGCGUAGACGGCAGUGCAAGUCUGGAGUGAAAGGCGGGGGCUCAACCCCCGGACUGCUCUGGAAACGGUACGGCUGGAGUGCAGGAGAGGUAAGUGGAAUUCCUGGUGUAGCGGGGAAAUGCGUAGAUAUUAGGAGGAACACCAGUGGCGAAGGCGGCUUACUGGACUGUAACUGACGUUGAGGCUCGAAAGCGUGGGGAGCAAACAGGAUUAGAUACCCUUGUAGUC
Molecule: ribosomal RNA, 440 nt
Filed under: uncultured bacterium
Lineage: Bacteria
Description: partial 16S ribosomal RNA
Rfam family: Bacterial small subunit ribosomal RNA
Source: RNAcentral